This 2590-nucleotide long non-coding RNA is filed under the name Bemisia tabaci. RNAcentral describes it as "lncRNA ENSSSA3NGG013746". The record is from RNAcentral. Lineage: Eukaryota; Metazoa; Arthropoda; Insecta; Hemiptera; Aleyrodidae.
CCGGGAGCUCUUUUGCUAGGGGUUUAGAGGCCGUUGCUCCGCUCCAGAAUGGAGGACUUACGGUCUCCUCACCCGCAACGCACGGUAGUGUUAUAUAGCCCGUAAUUACGGCUCCUGGAGCCGGAGUUUUUUUUUUUCAGUGUAAUCGGCCCGCAGGAUCACUCCAUUUUGCUUUGUCCUCUUUAUCUUGACUUUGUCUAUAAAUUUGAAUAAUCAUCCCGCAGCAUGGAAAAGAAGCUGAACAUGCAUUUCAAACUACCAUGCACAUGCGAAAUACAAACAUGGAUGGAAAUUGGACUCACCACAGUAGACUGACUUUGGAACCACGUGGGCCCGCUGACGGGGAUCUUCUGGGCGGACGUGGAGGCGGGGGCGGGGGCAGGGACGACGGUAGCCUCGCCGGCGCCGAGUUGACUUUGGUCGAGAAGCCCCGGAGCCGGGAGUCCUCGGCGAUCUGCCUCUCGGGGACGGACCAGGAGGCUCGUCGCUUGUCGACCGGCUUCAUCGACGAGAUCCGAACCUCCAGGCCGUUGUCGGUAGAUGUUCGUCGGCGGCGGCUUCCCGUCCGUCUCCACGAUGUUCAGCUUCCCCGGCUCCGCCGCGAAGUGGAUCUCCGUCUUGCUGAACUCCACCUUCCGCUGCUUCUUGUCCACCUCCGACGUCGGCGACUUCACCCGGGAGGCGUCCUCGUCCGAGAAGAUCUGCACGCUCGUCGGGCGGACGCUCUCGAAGUCGCCCGACGCCUUCGCCGAACAGUCCGACAAGAGGUCUUCCGUCGAGUUGGUCGACAGCUUGUCGGAGAUCGAGUUCAGCGAAAAACUGUUGAAAUCCGAGUCUGAUUCCCUACAACUAUCUCUUCCUUCGUCUACAGCAGGACUAGACUCCACUGAAACCGCCGUCCCGUUCGAGAACUGCCUAUGUAGAAGUGUCUUUGUCUUCGGCGUGUCUUCGACCGAAUUAACUUGAACUAUCGGUAUGGAAAUUGUAACCGGUUCCGACUUCCUCUUCUGAUCAAACACACUAAAAGUCGACGUCUCGCGUAAACUUCGCAGGGCUUCCUGUAUCUUUCCUCCUGGGAAAGACCUCCUGUGGCACUCGAAAGGCUGAUUGCCGUCACCUAGUGUCACCGUCGUCUUCCUCCCGAACUGGUUCGAAAACUUGGCUUCCUGGGUGUCGAGGAUAGACUUCGGCAUAACCUCGUCGUACUUGGAGAUGCCUAACUUGGAGGGCGCCGCCACUAUCUCGGAAGACCUGCAGAUUCCGCUAUCCGUCGAUGACUCCACCUUGGAGUCCUCUUUGAGACGGGAGUUCUCGCCGUUCUGGUUGUGCAUCUGCUCGAAGCCGUAGGACUUCCGGCGGUUGUACCAUUCCUCCGAGCGGCUGCCCGACGAGGUGCUGGACUUACUGGAGCUGCGGCUUUCCAAACUCCCGGUCCCGUUGAUUUUUGGUUUCUGCAACUGGAUCUCCAUGCCGAAGACGAAUGACUUGACUUUCCCCGGAGUGGGCGCUGGCGGGGUCUCCGGCUUCGUUUCGGUGACUAUGCCGUCGUCCGGUUCCGUCACUAUCGGGACAACCGGUUCCGGGUUCAACGGUUUUAAUUUCCCGCGCACCUCGUUUAAUGACUCCACUGUGAUGAAGGAAUCUUUUUUCUUGGCUGGUGUUAACUUCCUGCUCUCGGUGUUUUCUUUACUGCUAUCCUCAGCGUCGCUGAGCGGCUUGAUAGAAUCGUUGUCUAUAUCUCGUUUAAUCUUCAAUACUACACCCUCUAGUUCAUUCAGAUCUGACCAGGUCUUCGUGUGAACUUGUUUGAAAUUUGGCUUUGGGCUUUCCUCCGCUUUUUGCGCGAAGAACUGUAACGAUCGCCGCACUUUUGAGCCUCGUCGCCAGUUAGACUCACCGUCUUCAGACGUUUUGUCGUCCAGGUUCUGACUCUUCAUAUCCUCGAUGGAAUUGCUCUUUUGGCGGGUGAGGCUUCCGUGGGUUGAGGCAUCGUCGGGGACGUCUGAGUCACCAUUGGUGAUUUCGGUGAUCUUGAUGGAGCCUAGGGAGCUGGACUUCUGGGAGGAGGCGUCAUCACAGUCGGUGCUCUCGUGGAAGCCGUUCUCGAACAUCCGCUUCCCGAAGCUCGGGGUGUGGAAGUUGGGGAACUUGCCGAAAGAGUGCGUCGAGGUCUGUCGGUGGAGCUUCUCGCAGAUGCUCGAGAGCUCGGAGAGGCGACUAGAUGGUUCUUCGAUGUUGCGGGAGUUGAGGAUGGUGCUGCGAGGCCGCGUGGGCGGUCGCCGCCCGCCGAUGGAUCCGCUUCGUCCGAUGUUUACUUUCAUUUUCUGGGGCGUCAAAUCCAGAGGACUUGAGCUCAGCUGUGAACAGACGAGAACUUGGAGUUAGAAAAAUUUGAGGUGCUGACUCGAAUUGGAGACAAUAUAUCGAUGGCCAAAGUGCAAAACCACGUAUGUAUCUCCUUUGCGGUGGCUCAAAAUCUCUGCUCAUAUUUUAUUUACUCGAAGAGAUACAAGUCAACUUUAUAGCUUGAAAUUUAAACAUAGUAUUCUGCUGAUAGGAAAGAAAAAUCAGGGAAGUUUUAAAAAAUUAC